Molecule: unclassified non-coding RNA, 216 nt
Filed under: Hevea brasiliensis (rubber tree)
Lineage: Eukaryota; Viridiplantae; Streptophyta; Magnoliopsida; Malpighiales; Euphorbiaceae
Source: RNAcentral
UAUAAUUUCAAGAAACUUCAAGAAUCUUUAAAGAAGAUGGAGGAACAUGGGGUAUCAAGCAAUGUAGCUCGUGCUAUAGUGGCUGCCCUUGAUUGGAACUCGUCUCCUGAUGACCGUAAAGCCGCGUAUGCCUAUUUAGAAUCCAUAAAAGCAGGGGAUGUACGUGUCCUGGCGAGCACAUCAUUUAUUUUAGUAAGGAAAGAAUGGUCUUCAGAA